GACUGAAUUGUUACUGACUAUUACUGACUGAGUUAUUACUGACUGACUGAAUUGUUACUGACUAUUACUGACUGAUGCUGUCAUUUACAGCACAGAGGAGUCUGCACAAGAAGAAGAAAAAAGGAUGAACUAUGGAGGUGUGUAUGUGGGACUACCAGCAGACCUGAGCAUUAUGCCUCCUAUCCAGAUGGGAACACACCAAGAUGAGUGAAGCAUCAUUGAAACACCUUUAACUAAAGGUAUGAUGUCAACAGCCCCGAUCUCAAUAUCAGAUGUCAAUAUCCUAUGUUAAACUCUCUGCCUCAAUCUCAGAAGUUCAUCUUUUGGGACUCUCACACCCACUACAGAGAGAGAACCUUCAGGAUAAUGAUGAUGUCAGCAAGAAUGAAGGAAGGAAUUGUUCUCUUUGAUCUCUGAUUGGCUCCGUGGGACCCAGUAGAACCCCUGGGGGACCAAUCAUCUCCCUCUCUUGCGCCAUAGGAACUG
Molecule: long non-coding RNA, 486 nt
Organism: Oncorhynchus tshawytscha (Chinook salmon)
Lineage: Eukaryota; Metazoa; Chordata; Actinopteri; Salmoniformes; Salmonidae
Exons: 3
Source: RefSeq, a predicted model, not a curated record